CGGGACGGGUGAGUAACGCGUGGGUAACCUGCCUCAUACAGGGGGAUAACAGUUGGAAACGACUGCUAAUACCGCAUAAGCCCACGGUGCCGCAUGGCACAGAGGGAAAAGGAGCAAUCCGCUUUGAGAUGGCCUCGCGUCCGAUUAGCUAGUUGGUGAGGUAACGGCCCACCAAGGCGACGAUCGGUAGCCGGACUGAGAGGUUGAACGGCCACAUUGGGACUGAGACACGGCCCAG
Molecule: ribosomal RNA, 238 nt
Filed under: uncultured bacterium
Lineage: Bacteria
Description: partial 16S ribosomal RNA
Rfam family: Bacterial small subunit ribosomal RNA
Source: RNAcentral